AUUGAACGCUGGCGGCAUGCCUUACACAUGCAAGUCGAACGGCAGCGGGGGGGAAGCUUGCUUUUCCUGCCGGCGAGUGGCGAACGGGUGAGUAAUACAUCGGAACGUGCCCUGUAGUGGGGGAUAACUAGUCGAAAGAUUAGCUAAUACCGCAUACGACCUGAGGGUGAAAGUGGGGGACCGCAAGGCCUCAUGCUAUAGGAGCGGCCGAUGUCUGGUUAGCUAGGUGGUGGGGUAAAGGCCUACCAGGGCGACGAUCAGUAGCUGGUCUGAGAGGACGAUCAGCCACAAUGGGACUGGGGCCCGGACCAGACACCUACGGGGGGCAGCAGUGGGGAAUUUUGGACAAUGGGCGAAAGCCUGAUCCAGCAAUGCCGCGUGUGUGAAGAAGGCCUUCGGGUUGUAAAGCACUUUUGUCCGGAAAGAAAUGGCUCUGGUUAAUACCUGGGGUCGAUGACGGUACCGGAAGAAUAAGGACCGGCUAACUACGUGCCAGCAGCCGCAGUAA
RNAcentral lists this ribosomal RNA (508 nucleotides) under uncultured bacterium. Its description in RNAcentral is "partial 16S ribosomal RNA". It matches the Rfam family "Bacterial small subunit ribosomal RNA", at positions 29 to 523 of the family's 1533-position model. The record is from RNAcentral.